CGGCCGUCAGGUGGAGGUCGCCGCGGCGUCCGUGCCGCCGCCCGCCCAACCGGCGCAGCUCGGCGGUUCGGAGCCCUCCAUAGCCGACC
This 89-nucleotide transfer RNA is filed under the name Streptomyces morookaense. RNAcentral's name for it is "tRNA-Thr". The record is from RNAcentral. Lineage: Bacteria; Bacillati; Actinomycetota; Actinomycetes; Kitasatosporales; Streptomycetaceae.